Molecule: ribosomal RNA, 464 nt
Filed under: uncultured bacterium
Lineage: Bacteria
Description: partial 16S ribosomal RNA
Rfam family: Bacterial small subunit ribosomal RNA
Source: RNAcentral
GACGAACGCUGGCGGCGUGCUUAACACAUGCAAGUCGAACGGAAAGGCCCAGCUUGCUGGGUGCUCGAGUGGCGAACGGGUGAGUAACACGCGGGUGUUCUGCCUCUAACUUCGGGAUAAGCCUGGGAAACUGGGUCUAAUACCGGAUAGGACAAUCGCUUCGUGUCGGUUGUGGUAAGUUUUUUCGGUUGGGGAUGAGCCCGCGGCCUAUCAGCUUGUUGGUGGGGUAAUGGCCUACCAAGGCGUCGACGGGUAGCCGGCCUGAGAGGGUGGACGGCCACAUUGGGACUGAGAUACGGCCCAGACUCCUACGGGAGGCAGCAGUGGGGAAUAUUGCACAAUGGGCGGAAGCCUGAUGCAGCGACGCCGCGUGGGGGAUGACGGCCUUCGGGUUGUAAACCUCUUUCGACAGGGACGAAGCGUUGGUGACGGUACCUGUAAAAGAAGCACCGGCUAACUACGUG